Molecule: ribosomal RNA, 253 nt
Filed under: uncultured bacterium
Lineage: Bacteria
Description: partial 16S ribosomal RNA
Rfam family: Bacterial small subunit ribosomal RNA
Source: RNAcentral
UACGAAGGGGGCUAGCGUUGUUCGGAAUUACUGGGCGUAAAGCGAGUGUAGGUGGUUGUCCAAGUUGGAUGUGAAAGCCUUGAGCUCAACUCAAGAAAUGCAUUCAGGACUGGGCGGCUAGAGGACCGGAGAGGAUAGUGGAAUUCCCAGUGUAGUGGUGAAAUACGUAGAGAUUGGGAAGAACACCAGUGGCGAAGGCGGCUAUCUGGACGGUUUCUGACACUAAGACUCGAAAGCGUAGGGAGCAAACAGG